RNAcentral lists this ribosomal RNA (429 nucleotides) under Triticum aestivum (bread wheat). RNAcentral describes it as "partial small subunit ribosomal RNA". Lineage: Eukaryota; Viridiplantae; Streptophyta; Magnoliopsida; Poales; Poaceae. The record is from RNAcentral.
AUGGGGCUGUUGUGCAGCCAUAUCCUGAAGGUUCUCAACUUCAUUCGUGUUACGGAGAUCCCAAAUAAGCACAUUGUGAAAAGGUGGACAAGGGAUGCAAGAGAUAUACUUCCAGCGCACCUGAUGCAGUACCAGAGAGACAAUGCUCAAGAAAACCCGUUUAGUUUCCGGCAUUUCAACAUGUAUAUGCAAGCCAUGGAGCUUGUUCGGAUGGGAGACUCAAGUGUGGCAGCUUAUGAGCACUUGAUCUCGCUAUUCAAACACUGUGCAAAAGAGAUGAAGCCAUUUACAGACGUCCGAGAUGGCCUUGGUUUGGAAGACAGGUUAGCAUGUAGUACUAGGAUUGAUAACAGGAUGCAAUCAAGAGGCGAUGUAUGCGAAGCAGUAGAUGGUACAGAGGUUAACAACAGCAAUGAUGACAGCGAUUAA